CCUUUAACAUGUAAAUCAGACGCGUUCGGUGUGAACGCAGCAUCAGGCUCACAAUCAACAUGGAUCUCAGAGAUCAGACGCUGUAACUGUCACAGUUCAUCAUGGUGCUGGUAGGAAUGUGAUUGUGAUCGCAGCGACAUCUGGAGGAUUAUUCAUCAUCAUCACCAUCAUCAUCAUCAUCAUCAUAUUUACAAUUCGGAAGAAAAGGAUAAACAGAAGAUCUAUAAAUGAGUACGAGGUGAGAUGAUCAAAGAAUCACAGAAAAUAGUACUAAAAGAAUAAAAUUAGCUUUUUUAUAUAUUUAGAAUUUUUUUUAUGGCUGGUCCAACUUGUGUUCAAGUCAUAUCACAUCAUAUGUUGGGAAAUUAUGAGACUGCUCAAACAUCUCAUAGCAAACUGACAGACACUGAUUGAGAUGUGAACUCACAAUGUUUCAAUGUUUGUAUUGUAAGUCUUUCUCUCCGUUUCCCUGUAGAACGUUGAUCCCAGUGCAGGCACAUAUGCAGCUCUUGACCUCAAGUCCAGAUCAUCUGACCCCUACGACACACUCACAGUGCGUGAAGCACUUUGAGGGACAAGUUUACAGAUUAUGUAAAGUUUAGGUUUAAAAUCAUGAAUUGGUGCUUCUACAUCAGUGUUAUUCAUCUAUCAUUUCCCUCUGAUUUUUGGGAUAACUUAUGGGUAGGGUUAGGUUUAGGGGUAGGAAUAGGGUUAAGACUAAAUUGUCAGCCUGGAAUGUUGUUCCAGGAUCAACAAAAUAUGUUGACGUGCGUAAGUGAAAUAUCAAAAGCCACACAUGCAAAAGAGUUUGUGCAUUCAAAACUCAUGUAAUCUGUUAAAUCAUUUUCUCUGUCUGUCCCAGACAUUCAAACAUGUUCAUCACAAACAGCAUUACCAGCUUCACUUAUUACUAACCAGACUGACUUUAUUUCUGUCACAUUUUCUAUAGACUGUACUACACUCACAUUUGUAUCAAUUAAGUGGGCAGAACACAGACUGAUUUGAGGUUUGACUUACUAGUCAUACGGUGCAUAGCGUCUUAGAUAUGUUCUCUGAAAGAAGAUCCGCUCCUAUUCUGCUGGGGUGCAGGCCGUCAUCACGGAAGAGCCUGGGUCGCUCCCAGAAAAGAUUCCAAUUAUUUACAAAGAGCAGCUUCUGUUCAUUACACCAAGACAUUAACCAUUCAUCUAAAGCAAAUAAUCUACUGAACCUUUCAUGUCCUUGUCGUUACGUUGUAAGCAGUCCAGACACAAUGAUCCUCGUCGCGGGCGAUGUGCUGUGUACCGUCUCGAUCAGGCUCCUGAAGUCCUGCUUCAGAACCUCCAUCUGCCGCAGCCGGGUGUCGUUCACCCCAGACAUCGAGAACACGAGCACCAGGAAAACAGUGACUGCACCUUACCUUUAGCUGAGGUAGUGUGGACAUGAUGGACGAUUGAGUCUCCAAUGACCACAGCGUUGCAUCUCGUUUUGUGAAGAGAAUAGAAGCAGUUUCACGUGGAGAUGCCGAAGACCACGGGGUGGCGAAGGGGGAGAGGUCCGGUUCCAAGGCCUGGAUCACGCCUUCCACUGCUGAAGCACCCACGGUCCCUGGUGUGUCGGUGCCAGUGUGAACGAGGGCUGGGAAUAACGUGUUCUGGGUGCUCGGGCCCUGUGCAGAUAAACACACAGGGUAGAGGAACCAGGACUGUUAAUAUCACGCUGCAAACUUGCAGCGGAUUGGUAAGCGUCAGCCUGGGAUGUUUCCUGCGCUGUUUGUCAAUCCCGUAGCUCGGCCUGCUUCUCUAGUAGGUUGUGGAUCUGCUUCUCCACGGCCUCCAGCUCCAACUGCACCGCAUGCAGCUCGAACAUGUCCUCACCUACACUCAAAGGUAGAGACACAUCUGAUAGCUUCGCCAUUAGAAUAGAUGAAUAAUAAUGUGAGUGAGAAUUGCAAACAGCACAAAUGCUAGUGAGGACACACUACUAUUGCUAACGGGCUAAAGCUAGUAGCGGAUGUUUGGGAAGUCAGAUAAAACUAGCGAUAUCAAGGCAAUCUGACUGUUUUUUUUUAUAUAGGAAAAUGUCAGGGAUCUGUUCACCCGCUGUAAAAGGAAAAAAAAUAGGUUAUGAAUUUGAUUUUAAGAAGAAAAACAGACAAUUAGGAAUCAACUUGACGCAGCUCCAACCCAAACAGAUUGUCACCAUUGUUGAGGUUUGUAUGAAGAUUGCUGAUGUCUAAGUGUGUCAUUUUUAACUUUUAAAAGUUUGACAAUUUUACACAAAUCACUUGUGUUACAAAAAGUUAUCACAUCAUUUGAGUUUAUUAUUUCCUUCUCAUAUAACAUUUCAAUUCCAGAAGUAAGCAAAAAUAAAUAAAUAAAUGAACAGCUAUUUAAACCAAUUUAAUGCAGUCAUUUAUCUGUUAUUGAAACAGACAUGUUGAUCUGCUUUAUCAAUGCAGAAUUGUUUUCUGAAAACAUCUGCAAUUGCUGAAUAAGAAGCACCUCUACAAAAUUCAAGGGUGAAGAGCUCAACUAAAGCAAAUACUGAUCUCCAUUGUGGUGACCUCAAACUAAACAUUUUCAGUAAGACAUCAACAUCUAAACUUUUGUUAAUCUCAUUAAGAUCUUCUGUAGACAUGUGACAGAAAUA
Long non-coding RNA from Megalobrama amblycephala (Wuchang bream), 2631 nucleotides. RefSeq lists it as uncharacterized. Lineage: Eukaryota; Metazoa; Chordata; Actinopteri; Cypriniformes; Xenocyprididae. The transcript is spliced from 3 exons. The record is from RefSeq and is a predicted model, not a curated record.